GGUUCCAUAGUUCAACGGAUAGAAUAGUGGUUUCCUAAACCAUAGAUCCGAGUUCGAUUCUCGGUGGGACUA
This 72-nucleotide transfer RNA is filed under the name Prolixibacteraceae bacterium. Its description in RNAcentral is "tRNA-Arg". It matches the Rfam family "tRNA". From Rfam's summary of the family: Transfer RNA (tRNA) molecules are approximately 80 nucleotides in length. Their secondary structure includes four short double-helical elements and three loops (D, anti-codon, and T loops). The record is from RNAcentral. RNAcentral also lists the same sequence under 1 other name. Lineage: Bacteria; Pseudomonadati; Bacteroidota; Bacteroidia; Marinilabiliales; Prolixibacteraceae.